This is a long non-coding RNA of Cervus elaphus (red deer), 170 nucleotides long. RefSeq lists it as uncharacterized. Lineage: Eukaryota; Metazoa; Chordata; Mammalia; Artiodactyla; Cervidae. The record is from RefSeq and is a predicted model, not a curated record. The transcript has 3 exons.
AUAUAUUCUGCCAUUCCCCUCUGGCAUGCAGAGUUUCUGCUGAAAUAUCAGCUGUUAAGCAUAUGGAUUUUCCCUUGUGUGGUAAUUGUUGCUUCUCCCUUACUGCUAUUAAUAUUCUUUCUUUGUGUUUAAGUUUAUUUCAGUUCAGUUGCUCAGUUGUGUCCAACUCU